UGGGGUAUAGUCAAGUGGCUUAAGACACAUGGUUUUGGUCCAUGCAUUCGGGGGUUCGAAUCCUCCUACCCCAG
This 74-nucleotide transfer RNA is filed under the name Chitinivibrio alkaliphilus ACht1. It matches the Rfam family "tRNA". From Rfam's summary of the family: Transfer RNA (tRNA) molecules are approximately 80 nucleotides in length. Their secondary structure includes four short double-helical elements and three loops (D, anti-codon, and T loops). The record is from Rfam by way of RNAcentral. Lineage: Bacteria; Pseudomonadati; Fibrobacterota; Chitinivibrionia; Chitinivibrionales; Chitinivibrionaceae.